RNAcentral lists this ribosomal RNA (1410 nucleotides) under Klebsiella variicola. Its description in RNAcentral is "bacterial SSU rRNA". It matches the Rfam family "Bacterial small subunit ribosomal RNA". The record is from RNAcentral. Lineage: Bacteria; Pseudomonadati; Pseudomonadota; Gammaproteobacteria; Enterobacterales; Enterobacteriaceae.
AGUCGAGCGGUAGCACAGAGAGCUUGCUCUCGGGUGACGAGCGGCGGACGGGUGAGUAAUGUCUGGGAAACUGCCUGAUGGAGGGGGAUAACUACUGGAAACGGUAGCUAAUACCGCAUAACGUCGCAAGACCAAAGUGGGGGACCUUCGGGCCUCAUGCCAUCAGAUGUGCCCAGAUGGGAUUAGCUAGUAGGUGGGGUAACGGCUCACCUAGGCGACGAUCCCUAGCUGGUCUGAGAGGAUGACCAGCCACACUGGAACUGAGACACGGUCCAGACUCCUACGGGAGGCAGCAGUGGGGAAUAUUGCACAAUGGGCGCAAGCCUGAUGCAGCCAUGCCGCGUGUGUGAAGAAGGCCUUCGGGUUGUAAAGCACUUUCAGCGGGGAGGAAGGCGGUGAGGUUAAUAACCUCAUCGAUUGACGUUACCCGCAGAAGAAGCACCGGCUAACUCCGUGCCAGCAGCCGCGGUAAUACGGAGGGUGCAAGCGUUAAUCGGAAUUACUGGGCGUAAAGCGCACGCAGGCGGUCUGUCAAGUCGGAUGUGAAAUCCCCGGGCUCAACCUGGGAACUGCAUUCGAAACUGGCAGGCUAGAGUCUUGUAGAGGGGGGUAGAAUUCCAGGUGUAGCGGUGAAAUGCGUAGAGAUCUGGAGGAAUACCGGUGGCGAAGGCGGCCCCCUGGACAAAGACUGACGCUCAGGUGCGAAAGCGUGGGGAGCAAACAGGAUUAGAUACCCUGGUAGUCCACGCUGUAAACGAUGUCGAUUUGGAGGUUGUGCCCUUGAGGCGUGGCUUCCGGAGCUAACGCGUUAAAUCGACCGCCUGGGGAGUACGGCCGCAAGGUUAAAACUCAAAUGAAUUGACGGGGGCCCGCACAAGCGGUGGAGCAUGUGGUUUAAUUCGAUGCAACGCGAAGAACCUUACCUGGUCUUGACAUCCACAGAACUUUCCAGAGAUGGAUUGGUGCCUUCGGGAACUGUGAGACAGGUGCUGCAUGGCUGUCGUCAGCUCGUGUUGUGAAAUGUUGGGUUAAGUCCCGCAACGAGCGCAACCCUUAUCCUUUGUUGCCAGCGGUUCGGCCGGGAACUCAAAGGAGACUGCCAGUGAUAAACUGGAGGAAGGUGGGGAUGACGUCAAGUCAUCAUGGCCCUUACGACCAGGGCUACACACGUGCUACAAUGGCAUAUACAAAGAGAAGCGACCUCGCGAGAGCAAGCGGACCUCAUAAAGUAUGUCGUAGUCCGGAUUGGAGUCUGCAACUCGACUCCAUGAAGUCGGAAUCGCUAGUAAUCGUAGAUCAGAAUGCUACGGUGAAUACGUUCCCGGGCCUUGUACACACCGCCCGUCACACCAUGGGAGUGGGUUGCAAAAGAAGUAGGUAGCUUAACCUUCGGGAGGGCGCUUACCACUU